This 71-nucleotide transfer RNA is filed under the name Marmota monax (woodchuck). RNAcentral's name for it is "tRNA.Ala". It matches the Rfam family "tRNA". Rfam says of the family: Transfer RNA (tRNA) molecules are approximately 80 nucleotides in length. Their secondary structure includes four short double-helical elements and three loops (D, anti-codon, and T loops). Lineage: Eukaryota; Metazoa; Chordata; Mammalia; Rodentia; Sciuridae. The record is from RNAcentral.
GAGGUUGUGGCUCAGUAGUACAGCGCUUGCCUUGCAUGCAUGAGGCACUGGGUUCGAUUCUUAGCACCACA